This 1284-nucleotide long non-coding RNA is filed under the name Homo sapiens (human). RNAcentral describes it as "HSALNT0317923". The record is from RNAcentral. Lineage: Eukaryota; Metazoa; Chordata; Mammalia; Primates; Hominidae.
UUCUCCUGCCUCAGCCUCCCGAGUAGCUGGGAUUACAGGUGCCCACCACCAAGCCCGGCUAAUUUUUGUGUUUUUAGUAGAGACGGGGUUUCACCAUGUUGGCUAGGCUGGUCUCGAACUCCUGACCUCAAGUGAUCCACCCACCUUGGCCACCCAAAGUGUUGGGAUUACAGGCAUGAGCCACUGUGCCCAGCGGGUUUUGCCUUCUUUUUGUCUUCACUGCUGCUACAGAAUGUAUUUGCAAGGGAGUCAACUCACAACUGAAGAAAUGAAAUUAAUGGUCACUUGAAGAACUGCAUUAACUGAAGAUGCAGCGGAGUAGCCUGACUCAGGUCACAAAGUCACUUCCCUCAUAUUGCUUUAAAUUAGGUUGCUACCUUAUCAGGUUGAUAGCCUGACAUUCCCCCUACCAUGGACAUGACACUCUAGGAAUGAGCCUUCUAGCAAUAAGGGACUAAGGUCCUGAACAUAAAAGGAGCCAAAACCAUUUGAGUUCAUCUAUGAAGCUUUCUUCCAAAGAUCUUGAUGAAAAGGGGGAAAUGUGAAGUUAAAUAAUUCAAGCUUAAAGCUGUUGAAACCUCGAAUUAACCUGAGCCUUGAGAGCAAUGUGGCUAUGCAAUCUCGGUCACAUGGGUUGCAGCUGCAACUUCUGCCUUUAUUUCUUCUUGUUAGUAAUUAAGAAGACCCAAGCUGCACCAGAGAUGAGACCCCCUCAGAUCAUUGCCCCUCCUCAUGGAGUAAUAAAGUAAUCUUCCUUGGUAUGAAGCAAUCUGUAACCAAUCCAAUUGCUGUGAUGUAUGCACCUGGCCUUGUAGGGUAGCUGAUGUAAUCUUCCUGGAACUUCUCUACUGAUAUCAAUGAAACCUUAACUCCUCCACGUUGGAAACUCUGAGCCCAUUCCUUUGGAGUUGGUACUUUCACUGGUAGCCAUCCUUAAGCUUUGCACUUGAAUAAACUCUAUACUCAAUCACACUUUCUGAAUCUCAUUCUUUAAGGUUAACACUUCCUUCCAAAGGCUCUAGGUGACAACUCUUUGCCUCUUUUCAACCUCUGGUGGCUCUAGGCGUUUCUUGGCUUGUAGCCGCCUCACUCCAAUGUCUGCCUCCAUUUCAUGUGGGGUCCUCCUCUGUCUUCUAUGUGUCUCUUACAAGGUCACUGUCAUUAGAUUUAGGGUUCAGGAUCAUCUGGGAUGAUCUCAUCCCGAGAUCCUCAAUUUGGUUAUAUCUGCAAAGAUCUUUAUUCCAAAUAAGGUGACAUUCACAGUUUCCGAUGGUUAGGACAUGG